This 576-nucleotide ribosomal RNA is filed under the name Rhizanthella gardneri. RNAcentral's name for it is "eukaryotic LSU rRNA". It matches the Rfam family "Eukaryotic large subunit ribosomal RNA", at positions 1 to 574 of the family's 3401-position model. The record is from RNAcentral. Lineage: Eukaryota; Viridiplantae; Streptophyta; Magnoliopsida; Asparagales; Orchidaceae.
UGUCCCCAGGAUGGGUGGGAGGACCUGCUGAGUUUGAACAUAUCAAUAAGCAGAGGAGAAGAUACUUAUUAGGAUUCCCUUAGUAAUGACAAGUGAAUCGGGAUCUCCCCAGCAUGGGAAUCGAGCUGCAAUACAGGCCGAAUUGUUGUAUGGAGAAGCGACCCCAGUGACAGAUCAAGCCCAAGUCUCCUGAAAAGGGGCACCAGCACAGGUUAGAGCCUCAUUCCUCCUGAACCCUAUCAUAACAUGAGAUGCUAUCACCGAGUCGGUUUGUUUGGGAAUGCAAUCCCAAUUGGGCGUUAAAUUCUGUCCAAGGAUAAAUAUGUGCGAGAGACUGACGACGAACAAGUACCGUGAGGGAAAGAUGUAAAGAACUUCAAAAAGAGAGUCAAAGAGUGCUUGAAAUUAUCGGGAGGGAAGCGGAUGAGGGCUGGCAUUGCAUCUCGGCCUGAAGUGGGAGGCUUAAUGCUUUUCCAUUGCAUGGCUCUAGGCAUAGAUCAUUACAGGCCUUACUGGUGGCUAGACCCCGGGCGAAAGAUGCUCGAGGAGGCACAGUCAGUACUACCAAUGAAGCAU